UUUCCGUAGGUGAACCCGCGGAAGGAUCAUUAUUGUAUAACCGAGGUGCGAGGGCUGUCGCUGACCCGAAAGGUCGUGCACGCCCGAGUGCCCUCACACACAUCCACCUCACCCCUAUGUGCACCACCGCGUGGGUCCCCCUUUGGCUUGUUCGGAGGGGGGCUUACGUUUUCACACAAACUUUGUAUGCAGUGUAGAAUGUAUUUUUUGUUUUUGCGAUCACGCAAUCAAUACAACUUUCAACAACGGAUCUCUUGGCUCUC
This 263-nucleotide unclassified non-coding RNA is filed under the name plant metagenome. RNAcentral's name for it is "partial contains small subunit ribosomal RNA, internal transcribed spacer 1, and 5.8S ribosomal RNA". The record is from RNAcentral.